RNAcentral lists this ribosomal RNA (395 nucleotides) under uncultured bacterium. Its description in RNAcentral is "partial 16S ribosomal RNA". It matches the Rfam family "Bacterial small subunit ribosomal RNA", at positions 523 to 918 of the family's 1533-position model. The record is from RNAcentral.
AUACGUAGGGUGCAAGCGUUAAUCGGAAUUACUGGGCGUAAAGCGUGCGCAGGCGGGUUUGUAAGACAGUGGUGAAAUCCCCGGGCUCAACCUGGGAACUGCCAUUGUGACUGCAAGGCUGGAGGGCGGCAGAGGGGGAUGGAAUUCCGCGUGUAGCAGUGAAAUGCGUAGAUAUGCGGAGGAACACCGAUGGCGAAGGCAAUCCCCUGGGCCUGCACUGACGCUCAUGCACGAAAGCGUGGGGAGCAAACAGGAUUAGAUACCCUGGUAGUCCACGCCCUAAACGAUGUCAACUGGUUGUUGGGGAUUUAUUUUCUCAGUAACGAAGCUAACGCGUGAAGUUGACCGCCUGGGGAGUACGGCCGCAAGGUUAAAACUCAAAUGAAUUGACGGGG